This 253-nucleotide ribosomal RNA is filed under the name uncultured bacterium. RNAcentral's name for it is "partial 16S ribosomal RNA". It matches the Rfam family "Bacterial small subunit ribosomal RNA", at positions 524 to 776 of the family's 1533-position model. The record is from RNAcentral.
UACAGAGGUCUCAAGCGUUGUUCGGAUUCAUUGGGCGUAAAGGGUGCGUAGGCGGCGGGGCAAGUCGGAUGUGAAAUCUCAGGGCUCAACCCUGAAACUGCAUUCGAUACUGCCUUGCUCGAGGACUGGAGAGGAGAUUGGAAUUCACGGUGUAGCAGUGAAAUGCGUAGAUAUCGUGAGGAAGACAAGUGGCGAAGGCGGAUCUCUGGACAGUUCCUGACGCUGAGGCACGAAGGCCAGGGGAGCAAACGGG